This 91-nucleotide transfer RNA is filed under the name Streptomyces hundungensis. RNAcentral's name for it is "tRNA-Ala". Lineage: Bacteria; Bacillati; Actinomycetota; Actinomycetes; Kitasatosporales; Streptomycetaceae. The record is from RNAcentral.
GGUGCGGCUCGGCGAGGUGGCCGCGCGCCGUGGCGCGGUGCUGCUCGGGACCGGGCAUCCGCACCGUCUGCUCGGCUUCUACGCCGCUCUG